GAUGAACGCUGGCGGCGUGCCUAAUACAUGCAAGUCGAGCGAACAGACGAGGAGCUUGCUCCUCUGACGUUAGCGGCGGACGGGUGAGUAACACGUGGAUAACCUACCUAUAAGACUGGGAUAACUUCGGGAAACCGGAGCUAAUACCGGAUAACAUGUUGAACCGCAUGGUUCAACAGUGAAAGACGGUUUUGCUGUCACUUAUAGAUGGAUCCGCGUCGCAUUAGCUAGUUGGUAAGGUAACGGCUUACCAAGGCAACGAUGCGUAGCCGACCUGAGAGGGUGAUCGGCCACACUGGAACUGAGACACGGUCCAGACUCCUACGGGAGGCAGCAGUAGGGAAUCUUCCGCAAUGGGCGAAAGCCUGACGGAGCAACGCCGCGUGAGUGAAGAAGGUCUUCGGAUCGUAAAACUCUGUUAUUAGGGAAGAACGAAUGUGUAAGUAACUAUGCACGUCUUGACGGUACCUAAUCAGAAAGCCACGGCUAACUACGUG
Molecule: ribosomal RNA, 497 nt
Filed under: uncultured bacterium
Lineage: Bacteria
Description: partial 16S ribosomal RNA
Rfam family: Bacterial small subunit ribosomal RNA
Source: RNAcentral